This 466-nucleotide ribosomal RNA is filed under the name uncultured bacterium. RNAcentral's name for it is "partial 16S ribosomal RNA". It matches the Rfam family "Bacterial small subunit ribosomal RNA", at positions 28 to 507 of the family's 1533-position model. The record is from RNAcentral.
GACGAACGCUGGCGGCGCGCCUAACACAUGCAAGUCGAACGAGCGAGAGAGAGCUUGCUUUCUCGAGCGAGUGGCGAACGGGUGAGUAACGCGUGAGGAACCUGCCUCAAAGAGGGGGACAGCAGUUGGAAACGACUGCUAAUACCGCAUAAGCCCACGGCUCGGCAUCGAGCAGGGGGAAAAGGAGCAAUCCGCUUUGAGAUGGCCUCGCGUCCGAUUAGCUAGUUGGUGGGGUAACGGCCCACCAAGGCGACGAUCGGUAGCCGGACUGAGAGGUUGAACGGCCACAUUGGGACUGAGACACGGCCCAGACUCCUACGGGAGGCAGCAGUGGGGAAUAUUGCACAAUGGGGGAAACCCUGAUGCAGCGACGCCGCGUGGAGGAAGAAGGUCUUCGGAUUGUAAACUCCUGUUGUUGGGGAAGAUAAUGACGGUACCCAACAAGGAAGUGACGGCUAACUACGUG